CUAAGAAAGAGUCAUUAUUUAAAAAUUUUAAAGAUUGAAUCCUUAGCUUUUGAUAGGAUCCACUGAUUAUUUAAUUAUUUUUUCCCUAAGAACUCACGCUUAAGAAUUCCCAUUGCGGAUGCCCUAAUAGUUACCAUAUCCUCAAUUAUAUUUGGUUUUGGGUCAAGACAAAAUGUAUUGUUAGAUUCUUUUUAUGUGCAAUGUAUAUUAUGUUUCUUCACCACAUAGUUGUAAGAUGGGUCGACAAAUGAGGUUGAAUAUGUUUAUUGGGUAUAAAUCUUUGAUAUGAUUAAAUACCUAGAGCCAUCCAAAGGAUAUUUAUUAAGACUCGAUUUAUAGACUAAUAUUUUAAUGAGUUAGUUUUCCAACAUUAGGAAAAGAAAAUGAUCAGACGAAAAAAAAAUCAAUUAUCAUUGAUCCUGAGUCUAAAACAAUGUAAAAUUAGGCAUUCAUUUAUAUCUUAUACAAUAAAACAGACUUGUUCCUCUCCUCGUUAACCCACGUCAGCAUGGAGAGAGGAGCAUUUUGUGCCACCUGGACGCCUCUCUUUAUUCUUCAAAAGCUGUUCUCGAGUUAUGUUGAAUGGGCUGUGAGAAUAACAAGUGCACAUAUCAGGCCUAUUACUUGCUUAAAAUUUUCUAAAAUAUUGCAAAACUGGACUAUGUAGUUAGGGCCCACUUUCAAAUUUGUAGGUUGCUUACCUUUCUAAACCUACCAUCGGAGAUGAUGUAUCGUCGCGUAAACAACACUUCCCCUUCACAGUCGAGGUAUAUAAACACACCUCCCGAGAGAUCCUUCGAUCAUGGCGAAUUCUCCAAAUCAGAGCUCAUGUUCUAUCUCACAGAAAACCCUCGAUCAUGGCGACUUCUCUAUUUAUUUUUGCGAGUUUAAGACAUGCGGAUGCAGCCAGACCAUUCAGACCAGACUGCGUCGAUUUUAGGAGACCCGAAAUGUACUGAAAGGGGACGACCUAAUGGAUGUUGAUAUGCUUCUCAUUGAUGAAAAAGGUGUGCCGGUUCCUUAUUCCAAUUACUACUUUAAGAUUUAUGGCUUUUGAUGUUGGAGAGCACUCCAUGAUAAUUAAAUUUGUUAAGUUGCUGGUGAUUUUAGCAGGACUACCAUAUCUAACCAUUAAAAUUUAUUACUACUCGGGCUGUGUACUUCUGUAGUGGGGGGAUCUUUGUCCUCCAGAAUAUCUUCAUUAUGGGCUUCCAUCAUUUUCUAUAUACUCAUUUUACAUCUCCCAUAUGGAAAUAUGCUGGAAUGCACAGAUGGCAAGUGGAGCUUCAGUAGAGUUGCACAAUACUUCCGAAACAGUUAGAGAUUCUCUAUUUUUCCCUGAACCCUACUUGAGUCUGAAGGCAUGGACAUGUAAACAGACUAAGAGAGAGUUAUGUGUAUUUAUGUUGGAGACCCACAUAUUCAGAAGCAAGAGCUGUAAAAUUAAGAUCCAAUGUUUUUAUAGUAUUCGUAUCAAAGUACGCUCUUUAUUCUUUGCUUAUGUCACUACAGAUAAAAUCUUGGUCUGGACCAUCUGCUACUAAGUCUGAGAACCUGUUUUCCGAGUCUAAGAAUUCAAGACCUAGACACGGCCGCCACCUCUUUGUUGAUGGCCCUUCGACUUUGUAAUCAAUAGAGGCUAAGAAAGCCAUGGUUCCUGACAAACUCGCUGAGCUUUGGGUCGUUGACCCUGAGAGAUCUAAAAGACGAUCAUGGCUGGUUUAUAGUAACAGCACUGCAACCAAAAUAACGAGUGCAUCGAGUCAGAAUGACCCGCACCAAGUCGUGUGGAACGGCAAUCCUACAAAACUUUGUCCCAACUGUCAUCACGUCAUUGACAACAGAAGUUGAUGACUGGCCAGGCUUGCCUCAAGGUGUGAAAUUCGAUCCCUCUGAUCCAGAGAUCAUCUGCCAUUUGCUUGCAAAAUCUGGAUUGUUGGGUUUAAGCUCCCACCCUUUCAUUAAUGAGUUCAUCACAACUGUCAAUCAAGAUGAUGGAAUCUGUUCGCACAUCCUAAAAACUUACCAGUCUAGCCAUUUCAGUGAUCGUACCAGUUCUUCCAAGUUUUAUCUUAAUCCGAUUUUUUUUUUAAAACAAAUCGAGGCCUUAAGCACGACGGGACUGCGUCCCACUUUUCAAUAGAGCUAUCAAAACUUACAGCGCAUGAACUAACCAGUUGUAUUGGAUGGUGCGUUUAGUCACUGCCAUGGUAUCCAGUACAUGUUGGUCCAACACUACAAAACGUUGAUGCCUGCUUUUUAACUUUCCACUCUCUCCAACAACACCUCUUCUCUUUUUCUGCUUACUGCUAGAACCUUAUCUCCAGAGUGUCGUUGUGUUUAUCUUUUCGUACUCCAUUUCUUGAAGGAAAGUGAACGGUGUGCAAAACAUGCCUUUAAUGUCGAUGGAGAAGUCUCACGAGGAAGAGCAUUCGCACAUUUUCUUUCAGGUGGUUAUGUUUGACGUUUCAGUAAGUACAAGUAUGCUCAGCUAAUGAUUGCUAGCCGAAUGAGUUAUUCAUUCAUUGUUGUGCAGUUUUUUGCCUCAUGUUUUAGUACUUUUUCAUGAGCGAAGUGGCCUCAAUAUUUACAGUUCAUAAGGGCAGCUAGAUUUAACACCGAAGUGAUAUUGAAUGACAAGGUAUCAUAGCGAAUCAUUAGUCUUU
Molecule: long non-coding RNA, 2666 nt
Organism: Brassica napus (rape)
Lineage: Eukaryota; Viridiplantae; Streptophyta; Magnoliopsida; Brassicales; Brassicaceae
Exons: 6
Source: RefSeq, a predicted model, not a curated record